GACGUAGGGCGCGAGCGUUGUCCGGAUUUAUUGGGCGUAAAGAGCUCGUAGGCGGCUUGUCGCGUCGUCCGUGAAAACCUGCGGCUCAACUGCAGGCUGGCGGUCGAUACGGGCAGGCCGGAGUUCGGUAGGGGAGACUGGAAUUCCUGGUGUAGCGGUGAAAUGCGCAGAUAUCAGGAGGAACACCGGUGGCGAAGGCGGGUCUCUGGGCCGAUACUGACGCUGAGGAGCGAAAGCGUGGGGAGCGAACAGG
This 253-nucleotide ribosomal RNA is filed under the name uncultured bacterium. RNAcentral describes it as "partial 16S ribosomal RNA". It matches the Rfam family "Bacterial small subunit ribosomal RNA", at positions 524 to 776 of the family's 1533-position model. The record is from RNAcentral.